This 371-nucleotide ribosomal RNA is filed under the name uncultured organism. Its description in RNAcentral is "bacterial SSU rRNA". It matches the Rfam family "Bacterial small subunit ribosomal RNA", at positions 526 to 896 of the family's 1533-position model. The record is from RNAcentral.
CGUAGGGUGCGAGCGCUAAUCGGAAUUACUGGGCGUAAAGCGUGCGCAGGCGGUUUAGUAAGACAGGCGUGAAAUCCCCGGGCUCAACCUGGGAACUGCGCUUGUGACUGCUAAGCUAGAGUACGGCAGAGGGGGUGGGAUUCCACGUGUAGCAGUGAAAUGCGUAGAGAUGUGGAGGAACACCAAGGGCGAAGGCAGCCCCCUGGGUCGAUACUGACGCUCAUGCACGAAAGCGUGGGUAGCAAACAGGAUUAGAUACCCUGGUAGUCCACGCCCUAAACGAUGUCAACUAGGUGUUGGGAGGGUAAAACCUUUUAGUACCGGAGCUAACGCGUGAAGUUGACCGCCUGGGGAGUACGGCCGCAAGGUUA